CCUACGGGCGGCAGCAGUGGGGAAUAUUGGGCAAUGGGCGCAAGCCUGAUCCAGCAACGCCGCGUGAAGGAAGAAGGCUUUCGGGUUGUAAACUUCUUUUCUGAGGGACGAAGAAAGUGACGGUACCUCAGGAAUAAGCCACGGCUAACUACGUGACAGCAGCCGCGGUAAUUCGUAGGGGGCCAGCGGUAUCCGGAUUGAUUGGGUGGAAAGGGCGUGUAGGCGGGACAGCAAGUCAGAGGUGAAAACUCAGGGCUCAACCCUGGGCCUGCAUUUGAAACUGUUUUUCGUGAGUGCUGGAGAGGCAAGCGGAAUUCCGGGUGUAGCGGUGAAAUGCGUAGAUAUACGGAGGAACACCAGUGGCGAAGGCGGAUUGCUGGACAGUAACUGACGCUGAGGCGCGAAAGCGUGGGGAGCAAACAGGAUUAGAUACCCGGGUAGUC
RNAcentral lists this ribosomal RNA (443 nucleotides) under uncultured bacterium. RNAcentral's name for it is "partial 16S ribosomal RNA". It matches the Rfam family "Bacterial small subunit ribosomal RNA", at positions 338 to 795 of the family's 1533-position model. The record is from RNAcentral.